AGAGUUUGAUCCUGGCUCAGGACGAACGCUGGCGGCGUGCUUAACACAUGCAAGUCGAACGGAAAGGCCCUUUCGGGGGUACUCGAGUGGCGAACGGGUGAGUAACACGUGGGUGAUCUGCCCUGCACUUUGGGAUAAGCCUGGGAAACUGGGUCUAAUACCGAAUACACCCUGCUGGUCGCAUGGCCUGGUGGGGGAAAGCUUUUGCGGUGUGGGAUGGGCCCGCGGCCUAUCAGCUUGUUGGUGGGGUGAUGGCCUACCAAGGCGACGACGGGUAGCCGGCCUGAGAGGGUGUCCGGCCACACUGGGACUGAGAUACGGCCCAGACUCCUACGGGAGGCAGCAGUGGGGAAUAUUGCACAAUGGGCGCAAGCCUGAUGCAGCGACGCCGCGUGGGGGAUGACGGCCUUCGGGUUGUAAACCUCUUUCACCAUCGGCGAAGCCCAUGAUUUUUGUUGUGGGUGACGGUAGGUGGAGAAGAAGCACCGGCCAACUACGUGCCAGCAGCCGCGGUAAUACGUAGGGUGCGAGCGUUGUCCGGAAUUACUGGGCGUAAAGAGCUCGUAGGUGGUUUGUCGCGUUGUCCGUGAAAUUCCCUGGCUUAACUGGGGGCGUGCGGGCGAUACGGGCAGACUAGAGUACUGCAGGGGAGACUGGAAUUCCUGGUGUAGCGGUGGAAUGCGCAGAUAUCAGGAGGAACACCGGUGGCGAAGGCGGGUCUCUGGGCAGUAACUGACGCUGAGGAGCGAAAGCGUGGGGAGCGAACAGGAUUAGAUACCCUGGUAGUCC
Molecule: ribosomal RNA, 789 nt
Filed under: uncultured bacterium
Lineage: Bacteria
Description: bacterial SSU rRNA
Rfam family: Bacterial small subunit ribosomal RNA
Source: RNAcentral